AGUAAAGUGGCGACCGGGUGAGUAACACGUGACUAACCUACCUUCGAGUGGGGGAUAACCUCGGGAAACCGGGGCUAAUACCGCAUAACAUCUUUGAAGUGGAAAUUUCGGAGAUCAAAGGAGCAAUUCGCUGGAAGAGGGGGUCGCGGCUGAUUAGCUAGUUGGCGGGGUAACGGCCCACCAAGGCUUAGAUCGGUAGCCGGCCUGAGAGGGCGCACGGCCACACUGGAACUGAAACACGGUCCAG
RNAcentral lists this ribosomal RNA (247 nucleotides) under uncultured bacterium. RNAcentral describes it as "partial 16S ribosomal RNA". It matches the Rfam family "Bacterial small subunit ribosomal RNA", at positions 89 to 334 of the family's 1533-position model. The record is from RNAcentral.